GUUGUAUAGUCAAGUAAUUAAGUGCAUGUGGUGGAUGCCUUGGCAGUCAGAGGCGAUGAAAGACGUGAUAGCCUGCGAAAAGCUCCGGGGAGGCGGCAAAUAUCCUUUGAUCCGGAGAUGUCUGAAUGGGGGAACCCACCUACUUUAAGGUAGGUAUUGCAACAUGAAUACAUAGUGUUGCAAGGCGAACGAGGGGAAGUGAAACAUCUCAGUACCCUUAGGAAAAGAAAUCAAUUGAGAUUCCCUCAGUAGCGGCGAGCGAACGGGGAUCAGCCCAUUAAGUUAUGUGUGUUUUAGUGGAACGCUCUGGGAAGUGCGAACGUAGAGGGUGAUAUUCCCGUACACGAAAGGGCACACAUAAUGAUGACGAGUAGGGCGAGGCACGUGAAACCUUGUCUGAAUAUGGGGGGACCAUCCUCCAAGGCUAAAUACUCCUGACUGACCGAUAGUGAACCAGUACCGUGAGGGAAAGGCGAAAAGAACCCCUGUGAGGGGAGUGAAAUAGAUCCUGAAACCGCAUGCAUACAAGCAGUGGGAGCACCUUCGUGGUGUGACUGCGUACCUUUUGUAUAAUGGGUCAGCGACUUAUAUUCAGUAGCGAGGUUAACCGUAUAGGGGAGCCGUAGAGAAAUCGAGUCUUAAUAGGGCGUUUAGUUGCUGGGUAUAGACCCGAAACCAGGCGAUCUAUCCAUGAGCAGGUUGAAGGUUGGGUAACACUAACUGGAGGACCGAACCCACUGUCGUUGAAAAGCCAGGGGAUGACUUGUGGAUAGGGGUGAAAGGCUAAUCAAGCCUGGUGAUAGCUGGUUCUCCCCGAAAGCUAUUUAGGUAGCGCCUCGGACGAAUACCAUAGGGGGUAGAGCACUGUUUCGGCUAGGGGGUCAUCCCGACUUACCAAACCGAUGCAAACUCCGAAUACCUAUGAGUACUAUCCGGGAGACAGACUGCGGGUGCUAACGUCCGUAGUCAAGAGGAAAACAAUCCAGACCGCCAGCUAAGGCCCCAAAAUCAUAGUUAAGUGGGAAACGAUGUGGGAAGGCAUAGACAGCUAGGAGGUUGGCUUAGAAGCAGCCACCCUUUAAAGAAAGCGUAAUAGCUCACUAGUCGAGUCGGCCUGCGCGGAAGAUGUAACGGGGCUAAAACUAUGUGCCGAAGCUGCGGAUGUAUACUUUGUAUACGUGGUAGGGGAGCGUUCUGUAAGCCGAUGAAGGUGUGUUGAGAAGCAUGCUGGAGGUAUCAGAAGUGCGAAUGCUGACGUGAGUAACGACAAAACGGGUGAAAAACCCGUUCGCCGAAAGACCAAGGGUUCCAGUCCAACGUUAAUCGGGGCUGGGUGAGUCGACCCCUAAGGCGAGGCCGAAAGGCGUAGUCGAUGGGAAAAUGGUUAAUAUUCCAUUACUUCUGUGUAAUGCGAUGAGAGGACGGAGAAGGCUAAAUCAGCCUGGCGUUGGUUGUCCAGGUGAAAGGAUGUAGGCAUGUAUCUUAGGCAAAUCCGGGGUACUCUAUGCUGAGAUCUGAUAGCAAGCUGUACUUGUACAGCGAAGUGGUUGAUGCCAUGCUUCCAGGAAAAGUCUCUAAGCUUCAGUUACACAGGAAUCGUACCCGAAACCGACACAGGUGGUCAGGUCGAGUAGACCAAGGCGCUUGAGAGAACUCUGCUGAAGGAACUAGGCAAAAUGGUACCGUAACUUCGGGAGAAGGUACGCUGUUGUUGGUGAUGGAACUCGCUUCCUGAGCUGACGACAGCCGCAGAAACCAGGCCGCUGCAACUGUUUAUUAAAAACAUAGCACUCUGCAAACACGAAAGUGGACGUAUAGGGUGUGAUGCCUGCCCGGUGCUGGAAGGUUAAUUGAUGGGGUUAGCGUAAGCGAAGCUCUUGAUCGAAGCCCCAGUAAACGGCGGCCGUAACUAUAACGGUCCUAAGGUAGCGAAAUUCCUUGUCGGGUAAGUUCCGACCUGCACGAAUGGCAUAAUGAUGGCGGCGCUGUCUCCAGCAGAGGCUCAGUGAAAUCGAAAUCGCUGUGAAGAUGCAGUGUACCCGCGGCUAGACGGAAAGACCCCGUGAACCUUUACUGCAGCUUGACACUGAACUUUGACCUUACUUGUGUAGGAUAGGUGGGAGGCUUUGAAGCUGGAACGCUAGUUCCAGUGGAGCCGUCCUUGAAAUACCACCCUGGUAAUGUUGAGGUUCUAACUCUGUCCCGUGAUCCGGGACGAGGACCGUGUCUGGUGGGUAGUUUGACUGGGGCGGUCUCCUCCUAAAGAGUAACGGAGGAGUACGAAGGUGCGCUCAGCGUGGUCGGAAAUCACGCGUAGAGUAUAAAGGCAAAAGCGCGCUUAACUGCGAGACCCACAAGUCGAGCAGGUACGAAAGUAGGUCUUAGUGAUCCGGUGGUUCUGUAUGGAAGGGCCAUCGCUCAACGGAUAAAAGGUACUCUGGGGAUAACAGGCUGAUACCGCCCAAGAGUUCAUAUCGACGGCGGUGUUUGGCACCUCGAUGUCGGCUCAUCUCAUCCUGGGGCUGAAGCAGGUCCCAAGGGUAUGGCUGUUCGCCAUUUAAAGAGGUACGCGAGCUGGGUUUAGAACGUCGUGAGACAGUUCGGUCC
RNAcentral lists this ribosomal RNA (2607 nucleotides) under Acinetobacter baumannii. RNAcentral's name for it is "partial 23S ribosomal RNA". It matches the Rfam family "Bacterial large subunit ribosomal RNA". The record is from RNAcentral. Lineage: Bacteria; Pseudomonadati; Pseudomonadota; Gammaproteobacteria; Moraxellales; Moraxellaceae.